UCCACAAGGAACUGAACGACCUGGCCCAG
RNAcentral lists this non-coding RNA (29 nucleotides) under Mus musculus (house mouse). The record is from RNAcentral. Lineage: Eukaryota; Metazoa; Chordata; Mammalia; Rodentia; Muridae.